Molecule: ribosomal RNA, 425 nt
Filed under: Pseudoalteromonas sp. Asnod6A9
Lineage: Bacteria; Pseudomonadati; Pseudomonadota; Gammaproteobacteria; Alteromonadales; Pseudoalteromonadaceae
Description: bacterial SSU rRNA
Rfam family: Bacterial small subunit ribosomal RNA
Source: RNAcentral
GCAGCCUGAUGCAGCCNUGCCGCGUGUGUGAAGAAGGCCUUCGGGUUGUAAAGCACUUUCAGUCAGGAGGAAAGGUUAGUCGUUAAUACCGGCUAGCUGUGACGUUACUGACAGAAGAAGCACCGGCUAACUCCGUGCCAGCAGCCGCGGUAAUACGGAGGGUGCGAGCGUUAAUCGGAAUUACUGGGCGUAAAGCGUACGCAGGCGGUUUGUUAAGCGAGAUGUGAAAGCCCCGGGCUCAACCUGGGAACUGCAUUUCGAACUGGCAAACUAGAGUGUGAUAGAGGGUGGUAGAAUUUCAGGUGUAGCGGUGAAAUGCGUAGAGAUCUGAAGGAAUACCGAUGGCGAAGGCAGCCACCUGGGUCAACACUGACGCUCAUGUACGAAAGCGUGGGGAGCAAACAGGAUUAGAUACCCUGGGUAGU